ACACAUGCAAGUCGAGGGGCAGCGGGGAGGUAGCAAUACCUUUGCCGGCGACCGGCGCACGGGUGAGUAACACGUAUGCAAUCCACCUGUAACAGGGGGAUAACCCGGAGAAAUCCGGACUAAUACCCCAUAAUAUGGGCUCUCCGCAUGGAGGGUCCAUUAAAGAGAGCAAUCUUGGUUACAGACGAGCAUGCGCUCCAUUAGCCAGUUGGCGGGGUAACGGCCCACCAAGGCGACGAUGGAUAGGGGUUCUGAGAGGAAGGUCCCCCACAUUGGAACUGAGACACGGUCCAAACUCCUACGGGAGGCAGCAGUGAGGAAUAUUGGUCAAUGGUCGGCAGACUGAACCAGCCAAGUCGCGUGAGGGAAGACGGCCCUACGGGUUGUAAACCUCUUUUGUCGGAGAGUAAAGUGCGCUACGCGUAGCGUAUUGCAAGUAUCCGAAGAAAAAGCAUCGGCUAACUCCGUGCCAGCAGCCGCGGUAAUACGGAGGAUGCGAGCGUUAUCCGGAUUUAUUGGGUUUAAAGGGUGCGUAGGCGGCACGCCAAGUCAGCGGUGAAAUUUCCGGGCUCAACCCGGACUGUGCCGUUGAAACUGGCGAGCUAGAGUGCACAAGAGGCAGGCGGAAUGCGUGGUGUAGCGGUGAAAUGCAUAGAUAUCACGCAGAACCCCGAUUGCGAAGGCAGCCUGCUAGGGUGCGACAGACGCUGAGGCACGAAAGCGUGGGUAUCGAACAGGAUUAGAUACCCUGGUAGUCCACGCAGUAAACGAUGAAUACUAACUGUUUGCGAUACAAUGUAAGCGGUACAGCGAAAGCGUUAAGUAUUCCACCUGGGGAGUACGCCGGCAACGGUGAAACUCAAAGGAAUUGACGGGGGCCCGCACAAGCGGA
RNAcentral lists this ribosomal RNA (892 nucleotides) under uncultured bacterium. Its description in RNAcentral is "bacterial SSU rRNA". It matches the Rfam family "Bacterial small subunit ribosomal RNA", at positions 51 to 933 of the family's 1533-position model. The record is from RNAcentral.